UUGUAUUCUAUCAAUCUUGGGUAAUAAGUAAAUACGUUCGACUUUUCUUGAAUAUUUAAUGUAAGGAAACCAAGAUAAAGCGGAGCAAAACGUUUGAACGGUGCGCUGAAUGCAAUAAAAGUCAGGACACGAAAACAGUGCGAUGUUUUAAACCACCUAGUUGCGAAUUAAGACGGCAGCGAUGGGAAGAAAGCUGUGGUGUUGUACUACGUGAUUCAUCUCGCGUUUGUGAAAACCACUUCAAGAAAGUGAUUUCAUUAGUUAUCCGUCCGAAUCAAGCACUUUCAAACGAGCUCGUUCAUACCCAGGCGCAGUCCCAAUGCAAUACGAAAUAACUGAUACAAGUGUGGAUUUAGUACGCGAUCAGGAUACAUUCUUUGUUGAUGUCCAAACUCAAACAGGCGACUCUUUAGAAUGCGCGUUGAGAACAGAAAUAUUUCCUCUUACCGAAAUAAUUAAAACCAUGCAAGCAAGUAUGGAAGAGCUUAAUUUAAAGCUGCUCGAAGCAAAGUCUUUAAUGUAAAACUAUUUCGCAUGAAAAAAAUUUAAUUUCAAAAUUGUUAGAGUUAAGCUCACAUAUAAAAUUGGAAACA
This is a long non-coding RNA of Rhagoletis zephyria (snowberry fruit fly), 593 nucleotides long. RefSeq lists it as uncharacterized. NCBI's taxonomy places the organism in Eukaryota, Metazoa, Arthropoda, Insecta, Diptera, Tephritidae. The record is from RefSeq and is a predicted model, not a curated record.